GUAGUACGCAACCAAGCUAUCUAGGCCUUCUAUAACUCCACAUCCAUAGUUGAUCCAGUGCUAAUAUAGGUGAGCAAUGUCGUCCAGCUCUAGCGCUAUGAUGAACUGAGCAGAGCCUCUCCCUCUCGUGACCUGCCCUUUCUGCGGUAGAGCCGAGGUCGAAGUAUUCACAUCUUCACAGCCAGCGACACGCGGACAACGUUUCUACAAGUGCCCAUUUCACACGGGCACGAGAAACGGAUGCAAUUUCCUGAAGCCAGAAGAAACGUACGCGAAGUUCUUGCCGCGUGAAGGAAGAAUGGAGCGGCACAAUGUUCUGGCCGCAGUUCCUGGAUUGAACCACGAUCCGUACUACCACGGGGCAAACAAUGCCACCAACGAUGCUCGUUCUUACAUGGAGGGACGUCUUCGUUCUCUAGAGCAGAAGAUAGAAACGCUUAUAAUUAUGUGUAGUUUGAUUGUCUUACUUACUGCCAUCUCAAUGUUCUACACGUGUACUGUAGCUUGAUUCUGAUGCCUAAGCGCGUGCCUGCUUUCGAUAACAAAUAAAUAAAGCCCAGUUCACCCA
Molecule: long non-coding RNA, 568 nt
Organism: Brachypodium distachyon (stiff brome)
Lineage: Eukaryota; Viridiplantae; Streptophyta; Magnoliopsida; Poales; Poaceae
Exons: 2
Source: RefSeq, a predicted model, not a curated record